Cinara cedri is the source of this 239-nucleotide non-coding RNA. The record is from the annotation of a GenBank genome assembly. Lineage: Eukaryota; Metazoa; Arthropoda; Insecta; Hemiptera; Aphididae.
CACAUGUAUUAUAAUCCAAAUGCCUUUGUUACUCACCUACCCACAGGUAAACCGCUGUCGCGUGUUCUUUUUAUAAUAUUACGUUGUCCUGUAACAUUUCACGUAUUUGUAUGUCUUCGAUGUAUUCAAAAUUAAAACAUAAUACCUAUACAGGUAAUAGACACCAAAAGAAUAUACUCGUAGGUACAAUAAAAUGAUUAACGUUUAUCCUUAGACCUAAAACCUAUUUGUUUACCUGU